AGAAGAGGAGGAGGAGAAGAAAGAGAACAAACCCAGAGCACCCGAAGAAGAGGAGGAGGAGAAGAAGGAGAACAAGCGAGACGGUGGGAGAGGAGGGAGGAGGAGAAAAAUACCUCCGGCGGAGCGGGUUGGGAUCGGUCCGCGCCGGAGAGGAGGUAGCGCCGGAGACGAGGAAUGGGGGCUAAGGCAGCGCCGGAGACGAGGAAGAUGAG
RNAcentral lists this long non-coding RNA (212 nucleotides) under Phoenix dactylifera (date palm). Its description in RNAcentral is "long non-coding RNA (PDAC_LNC018972)". The record is from RNAcentral. Lineage: Eukaryota; Viridiplantae; Streptophyta; Magnoliopsida; Arecales; Arecaceae.